UACGGAGGGGGCAAGCGUUAUUCGGAAUUAUUGGGCGUAAAGGGCGCGUAGGCGGCUAGAUGUGUCAAAGGUGAAAUCCCUCGGCUCAACUGAGGAACUGCCUUUGAAACUGUCUGGCUUGAGGCCGGGAGAGGGUAGCGGAAUUCCCAGUGUAGCGGUGAAAUGCGUAGAUAUUGGGAGGAACACCAGUGGCGAAGGCGGCUACCUGGACCGGUUCUGACACUGAUGCGCGACAGCGUGGGGAGCAAACAGG
RNAcentral lists this ribosomal RNA (253 nucleotides) under uncultured bacterium. RNAcentral describes it as "partial 16S ribosomal RNA". It matches the Rfam family "Bacterial small subunit ribosomal RNA", at positions 524 to 776 of the family's 1533-position model. The record is from RNAcentral.